GGGGAAGGCGGGGGACCCGGGACGUCCAAGUGUGGCUAACCGGCGUUGCCUCAAGCGGAGUCACCGUAGAACAAGACGCAGGACAGGAAGUAAUUUUCGAAGCUUGCAACCAUCAGGGAAAGCCAAGAGACUCUGAGAGAAGCCAACUAUUGAGCUUCUGAAUUAACCCUUCCUGGAUCCACCUACCUCAUGACUUCUUGAUGUGUCCCUCCUGUUUAACGCACUGUUGUUACUUCCAUUGGUAUUCUUUGCAACAUUAACUAAGAAGAAAAAUAAAAGCAAAUGAGGU
Zalophus californianus (California sea lion) is the source of this 289-nucleotide long non-coding RNA. RefSeq lists it as uncharacterized. The record is from RefSeq and is a predicted model, not a curated record. Lineage: Eukaryota; Metazoa; Chordata; Mammalia; Carnivora; Otariidae. The transcript has 3 exons.